GCUUUGGGAUAGCUCACUUGGUAGAGCAUGAGACUCUGAAUCUCAGGGUCAUGGGUUCACGCCCACCUUGGGCA
Podarcis lilfordi (Lilford's wall lizard) is the source of this 74-nucleotide non-coding RNA. Lineage: Eukaryota; Metazoa; Chordata; Lepidosauria; Squamata; Lacertidae. The record is from the annotation of a GenBank genome assembly.